UACUACGGGAGGCAGCAGUAGGGAAUCUUCCGCAAUGGACGAAAGUCUGACGGAGCAACGCCCCGUGAGUGAUGAAGGCUUUCGGGUCGUAAAACUCUGUUGUUAGGGAAGAACAAGUGCUAGUUGAAUAAGCUGGCACCUUGACGGUACCUAACCAAAAAGCCACGGCUAACUACGUGCCAGCAGCCGCGGUAAUACGUAGGUGGCAAGCGUUAUCCGGAAUUAUUGGGCGUAAAGCAGCGCGCAGGUGGUUUCUUAAGUCUGAUGUGAAAGCCCACGGCUCACCCAUGGAGGGUCAUUGGAAACUGGGAGACUCGAGUGCACAAAAGAAAAGGGAAAAUCCCUGUGUAACGCUGAAAUGCAAAAGAAAGGGAGAAACACCAGUGGCAGAAAGCAACUUUUGGUCUGUAACAGACCCUGAAGCGCGAAAACUUGGGGAACCAACAGAGAUUGAAAACCCCGUGAUCCCCCCCCCAAAACCAAC
Molecule: ribosomal RNA, 484 nt
Filed under: bacterium A5M_VP8_F2
Lineage: Bacteria
Description: bacterial SSU rRNA
Rfam family: Bacterial small subunit ribosomal RNA
Source: RNAcentral